GCCGCACCUCUUCCACGCGGUACCUUCUCGUCGAUAUCGACGACGGUUCGGUGGAAGCCGGUGGGAUUCCGGCACGGUCGCGCCACUGUAUGCCGGGAACGCCCUUCGGGUGCGGGCCGGGUGAGUCAGACCCGCCCCGUCGUCCUGUGCACC
RNAcentral lists this non-coding RNA (153 nucleotides) under Streptomyces sp. The record is from RNAcentral. Lineage: Bacteria; Bacillati; Actinomycetota; Actinomycetes; Kitasatosporales; Streptomycetaceae.